UACGUAGGGGGCAAGCGUUGUUCGGAAUUACCGGGCGUAAAGCGCGUGUAGGCGGCUCUUCAAGUCAGACGUGAAAGCCCCGGGCUUAACUCGGGAACUGCGUUUGAUACUGUCGAGCUAGAGUGUGGAAGGGGCGAUUGGAAUUCCGUGUGUAGCGGUGAAAUGCGUAGAUAUACGGAGGAACACCAGAGGCGAAGGCGGAUCGCUGGGCCAACACUGACGCUGAGACGCGAAAGCUAGGGGAGCAAACGGG
This 253-nucleotide ribosomal RNA is filed under the name uncultured bacterium. Its description in RNAcentral is "partial 16S ribosomal RNA". It matches the Rfam family "Bacterial small subunit ribosomal RNA", at positions 524 to 776 of the family's 1533-position model. The record is from RNAcentral.